GUGGCCGGCGCCUGGUGCCCUGCAGACACCCGCUCUCUACGGAGCCGAGCUUGCUUUCAUGUCACCUCCUCGUACGGUUCCAGAAAAAUGCUGAGUGCGUGGAGGGCCAAGAAGAGAGGAGGAGGAAGGGAGGCCGGAGACGGCGGCGUGGGGACGGACACUGCCGUCUACAGACGCGUUGACACGCCGCCCCUCGGCUGCGCCCCCGAAGCCCUGUGGGCGAGGCGAGGCGGGCGCUCAGGGCAGGGCACCUCCCCUCUGCGCGGGAGGCGAGCGGAUUGCCCCGAGUGGAGGCCGCUCUGCCUGUGCGCACAGGCCUUGUGCAGCGAGGGGGCCGAGCCCAGCUCGUCGGUGCCGUCCGCAGGCCCCUCCCCGGCCCGGCCCUGCCUGCGGGCCGUCAGCCAUGCCCGUGAGUGUGGGGCCUCCGUGGCCGCGCCCUGGGCCGCCGCCCAGUGAGCAUCCCCCUUCAGGGGAAGAGAAAUGUGCUAAAUCCAAGGGCAUAAUCGCAGGAAUUCAAAGCAGGGCUCUGCCACGUGGUGAAGGACCUGUUUGCGCCGCACACAAAUUGCUGAAAGGAAAAGAAGACAAAGGGCUUAUUGCAGCAUGGGGAGAGUCAGAUGGGAAACUCUUUACCGGGGAAGAAUUGCUUAGCUGCAGUCUUGCAGACUUCUAUACAAGUGUGCAAAAGGCAACUCAGAAGCUGUGCCAUCCCAGGAGCCACCACCGGGCACGAGCUGCUCUUGAGCACACGAACGUGGCUCAUCCAGAUCAAAGUGUGCUGAAAGCACGAAACACACGCUGUACUUCAAAGACUUAGUACCAAAACAAUGAAGUAUCCUGGAUGUAUGGGGUUAAAUAAAACA
Non-coding RNA from Manis javanica (Malayan pangolin), 863 nucleotides. The record is from RefSeq and is a predicted model, not a curated record. Lineage: Eukaryota; Metazoa; Chordata; Mammalia; Pholidota; Manidae.